This 465-nucleotide ribosomal RNA is filed under the name uncultured bacterium. RNAcentral describes it as "partial 16S ribosomal RNA". It matches the Rfam family "Bacterial small subunit ribosomal RNA", at positions 28 to 507 of the family's 1533-position model. The record is from RNAcentral.
GACGAACGCUGGCGGCGUGCUUAACACAUGCAAGUCGUACGGUAAGGCCCUUUCGGGGGUACACGAGUGGCGCACGGGUGAGUAACACGUGAGUAACCUGCCCACAACUUUGGGAUAACGCUAGGAAACUGGUGCUAAUACUGGAUAUGUGCUCCUGCUGCAUGGUGGGGGUUGGAAAGCUCCGGCGGUUGUGGAUGGACUCGCGGCCUAUCAGCUUGUUGGUGGGGUAGUGGCCUACCAAGGCGGCGACGGGUAGCCGGCCUGAGAGGGUGACCGGCCACAUUGGGACUGAGAUACGGCCCAGACUCCUACGGGAGGCAGCAGUGGGGAAUAUUGCACAAUGGGCGCAAGCCGGAUGCAGCAACGCCGCGUGCGGGAUGACGGCCUUCGGGUUGUAAACCGCUUUCAGCAGGGACGAAGCUUUUUGUGACGGUACCUGCAGAAGAAGCACCGGCUAACUACGUG